RNAcentral lists this ribosomal RNA (497 nucleotides) under uncultured bacterium. RNAcentral's name for it is "partial 16S ribosomal RNA". It matches the Rfam family "Bacterial small subunit ribosomal RNA", at positions 28 to 507 of the family's 1533-position model. The record is from RNAcentral.
GACGAACGCUGGCGGCGUGCCUAAUACAUGCAAGUUGAGCGCUGAAGGGUGGUACUUGUACCACUUGGAUGAGCAGCGGACGGGUGAGUAACGCGUGGGGAAUCUGCCUUUGAGCGGGGGACAACAUUUGGAAACGAAUGCUAAUACCGCAUAAAAACUUUAAACACAAGUUUUAAGAUUGAAAGACGCAAUUGCAUCACUCAAAGAUGAGCCCGCGGUGUAUUAGCUAGUUGGUGAGGUAAAGGCUCACCAAGGCGAUGGUACAUAGCCGACCUGAGAGGGUGAGUGGCCCACUCUGGAACGAGACACGGCCCCAAAUCCUGACGGAGGCAGCAGUAGGGGAACUUUGGCAAAUGGGGAAAGUCUUACCGAGGAACGCCGGGGUGGUUAAGAAGGUUUUCGGGUCGUAAAACCCUGUUGAUAGAGAAGAACGUUGGUGAGAGUGAAAUGCUCAUCAAGUGACGGUAACUAACCAGAAAGGGACGGCUAACUACGUG